CAGUCGCCACGGUAAUACAGAGGGUGCUAGCGUUAAUCGGAUUUACUGGGCGUAAAGCGUGCGUAGGCGGUUUGUUAAGUCGGUUGUGAAAGCCCCGGGCUCAACCUGGGAAUUGCAGUCGAUACUGGCAGACUAGAGAACGGUAGAGGGAGGCGGAACUCCAGGUGUAGCGGUGAAAUGCGUAGAUAUCUGGAAGAACACCGAUGGCGAAGGCAACCUCCUGGGCCUGUUCUGACGCUGAGGCACGAAAGCGUGGGUAGCAAACAGGAUUAGAUACCCGUGUAGUCCCUGUCUCUUAUAA
Molecule: ribosomal RNA, 301 nt
Filed under: uncultured bacterium
Lineage: Bacteria
Description: partial 16S ribosomal RNA
Rfam family: Bacterial small subunit ribosomal RNA
Source: RNAcentral